This 24-nucleotide non-coding RNA is filed under the name Arabidopsis thaliana (thale cress). Lineage: Eukaryota; Viridiplantae; Streptophyta; Magnoliopsida; Brassicales; Brassicaceae. The record is from RNAcentral.
CGGCAUCAGCGUGCUCCGGGCGUC